This 576-nucleotide ribosomal RNA is filed under the name uncultured fungus. Its description in RNAcentral is "eukaryotic LSU rRNA". The stretch from base 227 to 380 matches the Rfam family "5.8S ribosomal RNA". Lineage: Eukaryota; Fungi. The record is from RNAcentral.
AGAGGAAGUAAAAGUCGUAACAAGGUCUCCGUAGGUGAACCUGCGGAGGGAUCAUUACAGAGUUCAUGCCCUCCGGGUAGAUCUCCCACCCAUUGCUAUAACUACUCUCGUUGCUUUGGCGGGCCGCUGGGCCCUGCCCGGCCGCCGGCCCCGGCUGGCGCGUGCCCGCCAGAGACCUCACAGACUCUGAAUGUUAGUGUCGUCCGAGUAACUAUACAAUCGUUAAAACUUUCAACAACGGAUCUCUUGGUUCUGGCAUCGAUGAAGAACGCAGCGAAAUGCGAUAAGUAAUGCGAAUUGCAGAAUUCAGUGAGUCAUCGAAUCUUUGAACGCACAUUGCGCCCUGUGGUAUUCCGCAGGGCAUGCCUGUUCGAGCGUCAUUUCAACCCUCAAGCCUCGCUUGGUGUUGGGCCCUGCCCGCCGCGGCCGGCCCUAAAGACAGUGGCGGCGCCGCCUGGCCCUCAGCGUAGUACAUCUCUCGCUCCAGGGUCCGGCGGCAGCCUGCCAGAACCCCCCAACUCUGUGGUUGACCUCGGAUCAGGUAGGGAUACCCGCUGAACUUAAGCAUAUCAAUAA